Carassius auratus (goldfish) is the source of this 1176-nucleotide long non-coding RNA. NCBI's taxonomy places the organism in Eukaryota, Metazoa, Chordata, Actinopteri, Cypriniformes, Cyprinidae. The record is from Ensembl.
AUGCAAAAGAAAUCUAAUGUAUCUCUUGCUCUGGCUAUUGUGUAUAGACCACCAGGGCCGUAUACAGAAUUCCUGAAAGAAUUUGCAGAUUUCCUCUCAGACCUUCUAGUUACAGUUGAUAAAGCGCUAAUCAUGGGAGAUUUUAAUAUUCACGUUGAUAAUGCAAAUGAUACAUUAGGACUUGCGUUUACUGACCUAAUAAACUCCUUUGGAGUCAAGCAAAAUGUCACCGGGCCCACUCAUCGUUUUAAUCAUACACUAGAUUUAAUUAUAUCGCAUGGAAUCGAUCUUACUGCUAUAGAUAUUGUACCUCAAAGUGAUGAUAUUACAGACCAUUUCCUUGUAUCGUGCAUGCUGCGUAUAACUGAUAUUAACUAUAUGUCGCAGCGUUACCGUCUGGGCAGAACUAUUGUUCCAGCCACCAAAGAAAGAUUCGCAAAUAACCUGCCUGAUCUAUCUCAACUGCUAAUUGUACCCAAAAAUACACACGAAUUAGACGAAAUUACUGACAACAUGGGCACUAUUUUCUCUAAAACAUUAGAAGCUGUUGCCCCAAUCAAAUUGAAAAAAGUUAGAGAAAAACGUACUGUACCAUGGUAUAACAGUAAUACUCACUCUCUCAAGAAAUUAACUCGUAGUCUUGAACGCAAAUGGAGAAAAACUAACUUAGAAGUUUUUAGAAUUGCAUGGAAAAACAGUAUGUCCAGCUAUAGACAGGCUCUAAAAACUGCUAGGGCAGAGCAUAUACACAAACUCAUUGAAAAUAACCAAAACAAUCCUAGGUUUUUAUUUAGCACAGUGGCUAAGUUAACAAAUUACCAGAUGCCACCUGAUUCAAAUAUUCCACCAACGUUAAAUAGUAAUGACUUUAUGAAUUUCUUCACUGAUAAAAUAGAUAACAUUAGAAAUACAAUAGCGAAUGUAGAUUCUACAGCGUCUAACACUUCAGUUUCAUCCAUCGCACCCAAAGAUAAACUGCAGUGCUUUACAACCAUAGGACAGGAAGAGCUAAAUAAACUUAUCACUGUAUCUAAACCAGGGGCGUGUCUAGAGCAUUUUCAGUGGGGGGGCCAUGCUGGGGCACUGCCUCCUAAUGGGGUGGCCGCCACUGCCCCCCCCCCCCCCCGCACAUUUUUGAUUACUUUAGUUUUUGUCAUCCAUGUAUAUAUCCAUUAA